UACGUAGGGGGCUAGCGUUGUCCGGAAUCAUUGGGCGUAAAGCGCGUGUAGGUGGUGGGACAAGUCUGCUGUGAAAGCGCCUGGCUUAACCGGGCGAGGUCGGCGGAAACUGUCCGACUAGAGGACGGUAGAGGGGGGUGGAAUUCCCGGUGUAGUGGUGAAAUGCGUAGAGAUCGGGAGGAACACCUGUGGCGAAGGCGGCCCCCUGGGCCGGCCCUGACACUGAGACGCGAAGGCGUGGGGAGCGAACGGG
Molecule: ribosomal RNA, 253 nt
Filed under: uncultured bacterium
Lineage: Bacteria
Description: partial 16S ribosomal RNA
Rfam family: Bacterial small subunit ribosomal RNA
Source: RNAcentral